AUUAAAGGAAAAUCUACUGAAGCAUUUAUCGUAAACGGGCAGCGUCUAAAACAUUAUCAUUAUGCAGAAAACAAUGAAGACUCGCAAGUCCUGCACUUAGACGUAUUGUCUCCAAAAUUAAUAGAUUAACAUCUAAUAGUUUUGUGUCGAGCUUGCGACAUUAAACAAAGCGCUUCGUGGGAGACAACAUACAAACUUUUAUUUAUUUUUCUUCUUUGACUAUUCUUUUGAUUUUAUUUAGUAUUCAUUCUUCAUUUUAUUUUAUUUUUAUUAAAUUUUUCU
This 282-nucleotide long non-coding RNA is filed under the name Lathyrus oleraceus (garden pea). RNAcentral's name for it is "Pisum sativum (pea) long non-coding RNA (PSAT_LNC029287)". The record is from RNAcentral. Lineage: Eukaryota; Viridiplantae; Streptophyta; Magnoliopsida; Fabales; Fabaceae.